AGGAUUACUACCUAUUUAGAUUACGGAAGUUGUUUUCCUUUAAUAUGCAUUUAUAAUGACUUUAAUUUGUUCUAAUUUGGCCUUUGACAUAAUUCAGUGUGUCAUUAAUUUGCAGACACUACAAAAUCAUUUUUUCGGGUUUCUUAAAAGAUGCAGAGAUAAUAGUGUUUCCCUCUAUUUCGUGAAUUGUUUUUCCUAUUCUCAACUUUUUACAUUUUCUGCACUUCUUUACUCUAAUAUGCAAAGUGACAAUUCCCAAGUCUGUAGGCUGCUUUCCUUUGUGGCCUCCACUUUGAAUGAAUAGUCAAAAUUUUGAUUUUUGCUCCCUAACCAUAUCUAUUUUGUCCUUUCUCCAGCUUUGUGUAUGGAACUCUGAUGGA
Molecule: unclassified non-coding RNA, 380 nt
Filed under: Hevea brasiliensis (rubber tree)
Lineage: Eukaryota; Viridiplantae; Streptophyta; Magnoliopsida; Malpighiales; Euphorbiaceae
Source: RNAcentral